UACGUAGGGGGCGAGCGUUGUCCGGAAUCAUUGGGCGUAAAGAGCUCGUAGGCGGUUCAGCAAGUCGGCUGUGAAAUUCCGAGGCUCAACCUCGGAACUGCAGUCGAUACUGCUGUGACUCGAGUCCGGUAGAGGAGAAUGGAAUUCCCGGUGUAGCGGUGAAAUGCGCAGAUAUCGGGAGGAACACCAGUAGCGAAGGCGGUUCUCUGGGCCGGUACUGACGCUGAGACGCGAAAGCGUGGGGAGCGAACAGG
This 254-nucleotide ribosomal RNA is filed under the name uncultured bacterium. Its description in RNAcentral is "partial 16S ribosomal RNA". It matches the Rfam family "Bacterial small subunit ribosomal RNA", at positions 524 to 776 of the family's 1533-position model. The record is from RNAcentral.